UACUCUGCUACAUAGUGUAUAUGUUGUUGCGGUUAAAAAGCUCGUAGUUGAAUUUCUGUUAGGGACGACCGGUCCACCCUCUGGGUUGGUAUCUGGCUUGGCCUUGGCAUCUUCUCGGGGAACGUUCUGCACUUCAUUGUGUGGUGCGGUAACCGGGUCGUUUAUUUUGAGGAAAUUAGAGUGUUUAAAGCAGGCUUUGCCUUGAAUACAUUAGCAUGGAAUAAUAAUAUAGGACCUCGGUUCUAUUUUGUUGGUUUCUAGAACUGUGGUAAUGAUGAAUAGGGAUAGUUGGGGAAACUGUUACUACGUUGUCAGAGGUGAAAUUCUUGGAUUUACGUAUGAACAACUAAUGCGAAAGCAUUUUUCAAGGAUGUUUUCA
This 379-nucleotide ribosomal RNA is filed under the name uncultured eukaryote. RNAcentral's name for it is "SSU rRNA". It matches the Rfam family "Eukaryotic small subunit ribosomal RNA", at positions 607 to 972 of the family's 1831-position model. The record is from RNAcentral.